This 1264-nucleotide long non-coding RNA is filed under the name Dasypus novemcinctus (nine-banded armadillo). Its description in RNAcentral is "lncRNA (ENSDNOG00000051544.1)". The record is from RNAcentral. Lineage: Eukaryota; Metazoa; Chordata; Mammalia; Cingulata; Dasypodidae.
CGAUCUUUGGAAGGAGUGGCGAGGCGGAGAGAGGAGGGGCAUGAAGAGUUAGGGGAAGGGAAAGAGGAGGGGCAUCUCCCGCCCCUCCCCGCCGCGGUUGGCUGGGAAAAAGUCGUGGCGUCACACAGGUCCCUUGAAAUGGGCUGGUGAAUGGCUAGGUUGGGGUGCACCGGGCGGGCUGUGGAAGAAGAGUGGUGACGCCAUUUCAAGGCUCCGCCCCCUCUCUCGGAGCCGAAAGACUCAGGCCGCAGAAGCUCGGACCAAUCAGGAGAAAGGCUCCAGGAGGGCAUGGAGGAAGAAAAAACAAUCCAAAGACUGCAGGAAAGUAGAAAGAGGAAUAGCUCAACAUCAUUUCUCAUUAGGAAAAUAUAUCAAAACUCCAUUGAGGGGAAGUGAAUGUGGCUCAAGUGAUUGGGCUUCUGCAUACCACAUAGGAGAUUCCUGGUUCAGUUCCUGGUACCUCCUAAAGAAGACAGCAAGCUGGUGUGACAGGCAGGCACAGCAAGCUGACACAACAAGAUGACACAACAAGAAACAUGAGGAAAACAUGAGAGACACAACAAAGCAGGGAGCGAAGGUGGCUCAAGAGAUUAAGCGUCUCCCUCCCACAUUGAAGGUCCCAGGUUCAGUUCCCGGUUUCUCCUAACGAAACAAGGAAGAUGAACAGAGACAGCAAGUGCAAACAAAUGAGUGAAUGGGGAGAAAUAAAUAAAAUAAAUCUUUAAGAAAACCAUUCGAGUGGAGUGAGUAUAUCUUAGUGGUUGAGCUCCUGCUUCACAUGUACAAGGUCCCAGGUUCAAUCCCACAUUGCACUGGCCAAAAAGAGGUGAGGGAAUUUCACCUCUUUCCUAGGAGCUCUCAGAUCUCUCACCGUAAGCAACUAUGAAGGAUAGGUGCUAAGGGAGGAAACAGAUUUCUAAGGAUUGCAGAAACAUAGAAAAGCAAGAAAGACUUCCAGAUGUGAGGGAAGGCCAUUGUUGUAGUUUGCUAGGCUAAAAUAUACCAUAUAUGGGCUGGCUUUUACAAUGGGAAUUUAUUAACUUGCAAGCUUACAUUUCUGAGGCCUUGCAAGUGUCCAAAUCAAGGCAUCAUCAGACGGUGCUUUCUCUCUGAAGAAUGGCUGCUGGUGAUCCUGGACUCCUCUGUCAUACGGCAAGGCCAGUGACGGUGGCUACUGGUCUCUCCCUUCUCCGGGUUUCAUUGCUUCAGCUUCAUGCGUCUGGCUUUCUCUGUUUCUGUGGGUUUCUCUCUCAGCUUCUGUGGC